This 26-nucleotide non-coding RNA is filed under the name Homo sapiens (human). The record is from RNAcentral. Lineage: Eukaryota; Metazoa; Chordata; Mammalia; Primates; Hominidae.
UGGAAAGCAUAGUGCUAGUGGUAAUC